ACCUCAGUUCGGAUUNAAGGCUGAAAUUCGCCUUCAUGAAGUCGGAAUUGCUAGUAAUGGCAGGUCAGCAUACUGCCGUGAAUACGUUCCCGGGCCUUGUACACACCGCCCGUCACACCAUGAGAGUUGGAGAUACCCGAAGCCUAUGAGCUAACUUUUAGAGGCAGUAGUCGAAGGUAGAAUCAAUGAUUGGGGUGAAGUCGUAACAAGGUAAC
Molecule: ribosomal RNA, 215 nt
Filed under: uncultured bacterium
Lineage: Bacteria
Description: partial 16S ribosomal RNA
Rfam family: Bacterial small subunit ribosomal RNA
Source: RNAcentral